This is a non-coding RNA of Araneus ventricosus, 80 nucleotides long. The record is from the annotation of a GenBank genome assembly. Lineage: Eukaryota; Metazoa; Arthropoda; Arachnida; Araneae; Araneidae.
GGUAGCGUGGCCGAGCGGUCUACAAGGCGCUGGUCGAAGGCACCAGUCUCUUCGCUGAGGGUUCGACCCCACCGCUGCCA